UACGGGGGGGGUAAGCGUUGUUCGGAAUUACUGGGCGUAAAGGGCUCGUAGGCGGCCAACUAAGUCAUACGUGAAAUCCCUCAGCUUAACUGGGGAACUGCGUGUGAUACUGGAUGGCUUGGAUUUGGGAGAGGGAUGCGGAAUUCCAGGUGUAGCGGUGAAAUGCGUAGAUAUCUGGAGGAAUACCGGUGGCGAAGGCGGCAUCCUGGACCGAGAUUGACACUGAGGAGCGAAAGCCAGGGGAGCAAACGGG
RNAcentral lists this ribosomal RNA (253 nucleotides) under uncultured bacterium. Its description in RNAcentral is "partial 16S ribosomal RNA". It matches the Rfam family "Bacterial small subunit ribosomal RNA", at positions 524 to 776 of the family's 1533-position model. The record is from RNAcentral.